CGCGGAAGGGUUGUAGGACAUGAAAAUGAUAUGGCACUGGACUUAUGGGACGAACACAAGAACACUCGAAACUAAGGGUAGAUGUGAACCUAACGGUAUACCUGAAGCUUUGAUUACCACUUGAUGAGAACAAGGGUGGCCCGAUCUUCUGAAAGGUUCUCGUAACUCUCGAUUUGGUGAAGACGAGACACAAAUCUAUGUGGCUUCCGAACAACACGAUCCGAAACCCCGCAUUUUUUUAUUUUUUUAAUAUUUUUCAUUUACUUAAGAGCACUAAAGAAGUAACCACAGAAAAUUUGAGCUUAAUCAAGUAAAAGACGUGGCCUGCGGAAUUUUGUGAAGAUUACAAAAAAUGUGAAAAAAACUUCACAAGGUGAAAACUCAAAAUUCGAAGACGAAUUUGGAGAUUCUAAAAUUUUCAAACCCCCUAAAACUGAGGACAGACAGACACUAAAUUUUUUUCUGAUCGAUUUUGAUAUAUGGAACAUUGAAAUCGGAGUUUGUAUGUGAAAGUUAUGGCUGUUUUACGAACGGACUCCGAAUUUGAGGACAAAACGGUCCGAAAGUGGGAAAAAGUAGCGUCGAUGGCUAGAAAUUGAUGGAAACGGUGGGGAAAAACACAAACUGGACUCUAACAAGACCUAACCAGCAACAAGACCUCGUCCAGGACACAAACUCAAAACUGCGGACUCAGAAACUGAAAUAUGCAAAGGCUAUGGCGCGGAAGGGUUGUAGGACACAAAAAUGAUAUGGCACUGGACUUAUGGGACAAACACAAGAACACUCGAAACUAAGGGUAGAUGUGAACCUAACGUUAUACCUGAACCUUUGAUUACCACUUGAUGAGAACAAGGGUGGCCCGAUCUUCCAAAAGGUUCUGUUAACUCUCGAUUUCGUGGAGACGAGACACAAAUCGAUCCGGCUUUCGAACAACACGAUCCGAAACCCUGCAAUUUUUUUUAUUUUUUUGAUAUUUUUCUUUUACUUAGGUGCACUAAAGAAGUAACCACAGAAAAUUUGAGCUUAAAUAAGUGAAAGACGUGGCCUGCGGAAUUUUCUAAAUUUUGUGAAAAAAGUGAAAAAAACUUCACGAGGUGAAAACUUAAACUUCGGAGUCGUAUUUCGAAAUUCUAAAAUUUUCAAAACCGCUAGUGGUAGGGACAGGCAGACCCAAAAUUUUUUUCUGAUUGAUUUUGAUAUAUGGAACGUUGAAAUCGGAGUUCGUACGUGAAUUGUAUGGCUAUUUUACGAACGGACUCCGAAUUAGAGAACAAAACGGUCCGAAAGUGGGAAAAAUUUGUGGCGAUGGCUAGAAAUUGAUGGAAACGGUGGGGAAAAACAUACUAACUGGACUCUAACAAGUCCUAACCAGCAACAACCUCGACCAGGACACAAACUCAAAACUGCGGACUCUGAAUCUGAAAUAUGCAAAAGCUUUGGCGCGGAAGGUUGUAGAACAGGAAAACAAUAUGGCACUGGACUUAGACGAACAUAAGAACACUCGAAACUAAGGGUAGAUGUGAACCUAACGGUAUACCUAAAGCUUUGAUUACCACUUGAUGAGAACAAGGGUGGCCCAAUCUUCCGAAAAGUUCUAGUAACUCUCGAUUUGGUGGAGACGAGACACAAAUCCAUACAGCUUCUGAACAACACGAUCCGAAACCCUGCAUUUUUUUAUUUUAUUGAUAUUUUUAUUUUACUUAGGAAUGCUAAAGGAGUAACCAUAGAAAAUUUGAGCUUAAGCAAGUGAAAGACAUGGCCUGUGGAAUUUUCUGAAGAUUGUGAAAAAUGUGAAAAAACUUCACGUAUUGGAAACUCAAACUUCGGAGGCGAAUUUCAGGAUUCUAAAAUUGUCAAACCCGCGAAAGUUAGGGACAAACAGAUUUGAAAUUUUUUUCUGAUCUAUUUUGAUACAUGAAACGUUCAAAUUGGAGUUCGUAUGCAAAGGUUAUCGCUGUUUUACGAACAGACUUCAAAUUUGAGGACAAAACGGUCCGAAAGUGGGAAAAUUUUGCGGCGGUGGCAAGAAAUUGAUGGAAACGGUGGGGAAAAGAUAUGAACUGGACUCUAACAAGACCUAACCAGCAACAAGACCUCGACCAGGACACAAACUCAACACUGCGGACUCUGAAACUGAAAUAUGCAAAGGCUAUGGCGGGGAAGGGUUGUAGGACAGGAAAACGAUAUGGCACUGGACUUAUGGGACGAACACAAGAACACUCAAAACUAACGGUAUACCUGAAGCUUUGAUUACCACUUGAUGAGAACAAGGGUGGCCCGAUCUUCUGAAAGGUUCUCGUAACUCUCAAUUUGGUGAAGACGAGACACAAAUCGAUGUGGCUUCCGAACAACACGAUCCGAAACCCCGCAUUUUUUUAUUUUUUUUAAUAAUUUCCUUUUACUUAGGAGCACUAAAGAAGUAACCACAUAAAAUUUGAGCUUAAUCAAGUAAAAGACGUGGCCUGCAAAAUUUUGUAAAUAUUACAAAAAAUGUGAAAAAAACUUCACAAGGUGAAAACUCAAACUUCGAAGACGAAUUUGGAGAUUCUAAAAUUUUCAAACCCCCUAAAACCGAGGACAGACAGACACUAAAUUUUUUUCUAAUCGAUUUUGAUAUAUGGAACAUUGAAAUCGGAGUUUGUAUGUGAAAGUUAUGGCUGUUUUACGAACGGACUCCGAAUUAGAGGACAAAACGGUCCGAAAGUGGGAAAAAGUUGCGGCGAUGGCUAGAAAUUGAUGGAAACGGUGGGAAAAAAAACACAAACUGGACUCUAACAAGACCUAACCAGCAACAAGACCUCGACCAGACACAAACUCAAAACUGCGGACUCGGAAACUGAAAUAUGCAAAGGCUAUGGCGCGGAAGGGUUGUAGGACAGAAAAAUGAUAUGGCACUGGACUUAUGGUACAAACACAAGAACACUCGAAACUAAGGGUAGAUGUGAACCUAACGGUAUACCUGAAGCUUUGAUUACCACUUGAUGAAAACAAGGGUGGCCCGAUCUUCCGAAAGGUUCUAUUAACUCUCGAUUUGGUGGAGAUGAGACACAAAUCGAUCCGGCUUCCGAACAACACGAUCCGAAACCCUGCAAUUUUUUUUUAUUUUUUUGAUAUUUUUCUUUUACUUAGGUGCACUAAAGAAGUAACCACAGAAAAUUUGAGCUUAAACAAGUGAAAGACGUGGCCUGCGAAAUUUUCUAAAUUUUGUGAAAAAAGUUUAAAAAACUUCACGAGGUGAAAACUUAAACUUCGGAGGCGUAUUUGGAAAUUCUAAAAUUUUCAAACCCGCUAGUGGUAGGGACAGGCAAACCCAAAAAAAUUUUUCUGAUUGAUUUUGAUAUAUGGAACGUUGAAAUCGGAGUUCGUACGCGAAUGUUAUGGCUAUUUUACGAACGGACUCUGAAUUAGAGAACAAAACGGUCCGAAAGUGGGAAAAAUUUGUGGCGAUGGCUAGAAAUUGAUGGAAACGGUGGGGAAAAACAUACUAACUGGUCUCUAACAAGACCUAACCAGCAACAACCUCGACCAGGACACAAACUCAAAACUGCAGACUCUGAAUCUGAAAUAUGCAAAAGCUAUGGCGCGGAAGGGUUGUAGAACAGGAAAACAAUAUGGCACUGGACUUAUGGGACGAACACAAGAACACUCGAAACUAAGGGUAGAUGUGAACCUAACGGUAUACCUAAAGCUUUGAUUACCACUUGAUGAGAACAAGGGUGGCCCGAUCUUCCGAAAAGUUCUGGUAACUCUCGAUUUGGUGGAGACGAGACACAAAUCGAUACAGCUUCUGAAUAACACGAUCCGAAACCCUACAUUUUUUUAUUUUUUUGAAAUUUUUAUUUUACUUAGGAGUGCUAAAGGAGUAACCACAGAAAAUUUGAGCUUAAGCAAGUGACAGACAUGGCCUGUUGAAUUUUCUGAAGAUUGUGAAAAAUGUGAAAAAACUUCACGUAUUGGAAACUCAAACUUCGGAGGCGAAUUUCAGGAUUCUAAAAUUGUCAAACCUGCGAAAGUUAGGGACAAACAGAUUUGAAAUUUUUUCUGAUUUAUUUUGAUAUAUGAAACGUUGAAAUCGGAGUUCGUAUGCGAAGGUUAUGGCUAUUUUACGAACAGACUUCGAAUUAGAGGACAAAACGGUCCGAAAGUGGGAAAAUUUUGCGGCGGUGGCAAGAAAUUGAUGGAAACGGUGGGGAAAAGAUAUGAACUGGACUCUAACAAGACCUAACCAGCAACAAAACCUCGACCAGGACACAAACUCAACACUGCAGACUCUGAAACUGAAAUAUGCAAAGGCUAUGGCGUGGAAGGGUUGUAGGACAGGAAAACGAUAUGGCACUAGACUUAUGGGACGAACACAAGAACACUCAAAACUAACGGUAGAUGUGAACCUAACGGUAUACCUGAAGCUUUGAUUACCACUUGAUGAGAACAAGGGUGGCCCGAUCUUCUGAAAGGUUCUCAUAACUCUCGAUUUGGUGAAGACGAGACACAAAUCGAUCUGGCUUCCAAACAACACAAUCCGAAACCCCGCAUUUUUUUAUUUUUUUAAUAUUUUCCUUUUACUUAGGAGCACUAAAGAAGUAACCACAUAAAAUUUGAGCUUAAUCAAGUAAAAGACGUGGCCUGCGGAAUUUUGUGAAGAUUACAAAAAAUGUGAAAAAAACUUCACAAGGUGAAAACUCAAACUUCGAAGACGAAUUUGGAGAUUCUAAAAUUUUCAAACCCCCCAAAACCGAGGACAGAUAGACACUAAAUUUUUUUCUCAUCGAUUUUGAUAUAUGGAACAUUGAAAUCGGAGUUUGUAUGUGAAAGUUAUGGCUGUUUUACGAACGGACUCCGAAUUAGAGGACAAAACGGUCUGAAAGUGCGAAAAAGGUUCGGCGAUGGCUAGAAAUUUAUGGAAACGGAGGGAAAAAAAUACAAACUGGACUCUAACAAGACCUAACCAGCAACAAGACCUCGACCAGGACACAAACUCAAAACUGCGGACUCGGAAACUGAAAUAUGCAAAGGCUAUGGCGCGGAAGGGUUGUAGGACACAAAAAUGAUAUGGCACUGGACUUAUGGGACAAACACAAGAACACUCGAAACUAAGGGUAGAGGUGAACCUAACGGUAUACCUGAAGCUUUGAUUACCACUUCAUGAGAACAAGGGUGGCCCGAUCUUCCGAAAGGUUCUGUUAACUCUCGAUUUGGUGGAGACGAGACACAAAUCGAUCCGGCUUCCGAACAACACGAUCCGAAACCCUGCAAUUUUUUUUAUUUUUUUGAUAUUUUUCUUUUACUUAGGUGCAUUAAAGAAGUAACCACAGAAAAUAUGAGCUUAAACAAGUGAAAGACGUGGCCUGCGGAAUUUUCUAAAUUUUGUGAAAAUGUGAAAAAAACUUCACGAGGUGAAAACUUAAACUUCGGAGGCGUAUUUGGAAAUUCUAAAAUUUUCAAACCCGCUAGUGGUAGGGACAGGUAGACCCGAAAUUUUUUUCUGAUUGAUUUUGAUAUAUGGAACGUUGAAAUCGGAGUUCGUACGCGAAUGUUAUGCUAUUUUACGAACGGACUCCAAAUUAGAGAACAAAACGGUCCGAAAGUGGGAAAAAUUUGCGGCGAUGGCUAGAAAUUGAUGAAAACGGUGGGGAAAAACAUACUAACUGAACUCUAACAAGACCCAACCAGCAACAACCUCGAUCAGGACACAAACUCAAAACUGCGGACUCUCAAUCUAAAAUAUGUAAAAGCUAUGGCGCGGAAGGGUUGUAGAACAGGAAAACAAUAUGGCACUGGACUUAUGGGACGAACACAAGAACACUAGAAACUAUGAGUAGUUGUGAACCUAGCGGUAUACCUAAAGCUUUGAUUAACACUUGAUGAGAACAAGGGUGGCCCGAUCUUCCGAAAAGUUCUGUUAACUCUCGAUUUGGUGGAGACGAGACACAAAUCGAUACAGCUUCUGAACAACACGAUUCGAAACCCUAUAUUUUUUUAUUUUUUUUGAUAUUUUUAUUUUACUUAGGAGUGCUAAAGGAGUAACCACAGAAAAUUUGAGCUUAAGCAAGUGAAAGACAUGGCCUGUGGAAUUUUCUGAAGAUUGUGAAAAAUAUGAAAAAACUUCACGUAUUAGAAACUCAAACUUCGGAGGCGAAUUUUAGGAUUCUAAAAGUGUCAAACCCGCGAAACUUAGGGACAACCAGAUCUGAAUUUUUUUUCUGAUCGAUUUUGAUAUAUGAAACCUUGAAAUCGGAGUUCGUAUGCGAAAGUUAUGGCUGUUUUACGAGCAGACUUCGAAUUAGAGGACAAAACGGUCCGAAAGUGGAAAAAUUUUGCGCCGGUGGCCAGAAAUUGAUGGAAACGGUGGGGAAAACACAUGAACUGGACUCUAACAAGACCUAACCAGCAACAAGACCUCGACUAGGACACAAACUCAACACUGCGGACUCUGAAACUGAAAUAUGCAAAGGCAAUGGCGCGGAAGGGUUGUAGGACAGGAAAACUAUAUAGCACUGGACUUAUGGAACGAACACAAGAACACUCAAAACUAAGGGUAGAUGUGAACCUAAUGGUAUACAUGAAGCUUUGAUUACCAUUUGAUGAGAACAAGGGUGGCCCAAUCUUCCGAAAAGUUCUAGUAACUCUCGAUUUGGUGGAGACGAGACACAAAUCGAUAUGGCUUCCGAACAACACGAUCCGAAACCCCGCAUUUUUUUUAUUUUUUUAAUAUUUUCCUUUUACUUAGGAGCACUAAAGAAGUAACCACAGAAAAUUUGAACUUAAUCGAGUAAAAGACGUGGCCUGCGGAAUUUUGUGAAGAUUACAAAAAAUGUGAAAAAAACUUCACAAGGUGAAAACUCAAACUUCGAAGACGAAUUUGGAGAUCCUAAAUUUUCAAACCCCCUAAAACCGAGGACAGACAGACACUAUAUUUUUUCUGAUCGAUUUUGAUAUAUGGAACAUUGAAAUCGAAGUUUGUAUGUGAAAGUUAUGGCUGUUUUACGAACGGACUCCGAAUUAGAGGACAAAACGGUCCGAAAGUGGGAAAAUUUUGCGGCGGUGGCA
RNAcentral lists this long non-coding RNA (7047 nucleotides) under Sorghum bicolor (sorghum). RNAcentral describes it as "long non-coding RNA (SBIC_LNC004791)". The record is from RNAcentral. Lineage: Eukaryota; Viridiplantae; Streptophyta; Magnoliopsida; Poales; Poaceae.